Oryza glaberrima (African rice) is the source of this 199-nucleotide non-coding RNA. Lineage: Eukaryota; Viridiplantae; Streptophyta; Magnoliopsida; Poales; Poaceae. The record is from Rfam.
AAUAAGCGUAUCCAUGAGUUUCCGUGUCCAACUUUGAUCGUCUAUCUUAUUUGAUUUAUGAUUAGUGUUUUUAUUGUUAUUAGAUUACAAAACAUGAAUAGUACUUUAUGCGUGACUAAUGUCUUUUUAGUUUUUCAAAAUAAUUUUAAAUAAGACGGACAAUUAAAGUUGAAUAAGGAAACUCAUGGUUGCGCUUAUU